RNAcentral lists this ribosomal RNA (456 nucleotides) under uncultured bacterium. RNAcentral's name for it is "partial 16S ribosomal RNA". It matches the Rfam family "Bacterial small subunit ribosomal RNA", at positions 355 to 803 of the family's 1533-position model. The record is from RNAcentral.
UGGGGAAUUUUGGACAAUGGGGGCAACCCUGAUCCAGCCAUCCCGCGUGUGCGAUGAAGGCCUUCGGGUUGUAAAGCACUUUUGGCAGGGAAGAAACAGCCUGGGAUAAUACCCCGGGCGACUGACGGUACCUGCAGAAUAAGCACCGGCUAACUACGUGCCAGCAGCCGCGGUAAUACGUAGGGUGCAAGCGUUAAUCGGAAUUACUGGGCGUAAAGCGUGCGCAGGCGGUUCGGAAAGAAAGGUGUGAAAUCCCAGGGCUUAACCUUGGAACUGCACUUUUAACUACCGAGCUAGAGUACGUCAGAGGGGGGUAGAAUUCCACGUGUAGCAGUGAAAUGCGUAGAGAUGUGGAGGAAUACCGAUGGCGAAGGCAGGCCCCUGGGAUGAUACUGACGCUCAUGCACGAAAGCGUGGGGAGCAAACAGGAUUAGAUACCCUGGUAGUCCACGCCCU